CGGGUGAGUAACGCGUGGGUAACCUGCCUUGUACAGGGGGAUAACAGUUGGAAACGGCUGCUAAUACCGCAUAAGCGCACAGCAUCGCAUGAUGCAGUGUGAAAAACUCCGGUGGUAUAAGAUGGACCCGCGUCUGAUUAGCCAGUUGGCGGGGUAACGGCCCACCAAAGCGACGAUCAGUAGCCGGCCUGAGAGGGUGAACGGCCACAUUGGGACUGAGACACGGCCCAA
RNAcentral lists this ribosomal RNA (231 nucleotides) under uncultured bacterium. RNAcentral describes it as "partial 16S ribosomal RNA". It matches the Rfam family "Bacterial small subunit ribosomal RNA", at positions 103 to 334 of the family's 1533-position model. The record is from RNAcentral.